GUCGAUCGGCGGCAUGGUCCUGACGACCGAGGCGAUGAUCACCGACAAGCCCGAGCCCAAGACCGCCGCGCCACCGAUGCCGCCGGGCGGCAUGGGCGGCAUGGGCGCGAUGGGCGGCAUGGGCGGCAUGGGCGACUUCUAGGCACCGGCUUCCCGCAGCGGCGCGUAACCGUCCCACCCGCUGCCUCCGCGCGCGCCACAAUGACGUAAGUGCUGGAGGCGACAUGUUGACGGCUUCGCAGCCCCGGUCGGCAUACGUUGGCG
This 264-nucleotide unclassified non-coding RNA is filed under the name uncultured Ascomycota. Its description in RNAcentral is "sequence contains ITS1". Lineage: Eukaryota; Fungi; Ascomycota. The record is from RNAcentral.